RNAcentral lists this ribosomal RNA (476 nucleotides) under Lonchodinae sp. SB0543. RNAcentral's name for it is "partial large subunit ribosomal RNA". It matches the Rfam family "Bacterial large subunit ribosomal RNA", at positions 1920 to 2611 of the family's 2925-position model. Lineage: Eukaryota; Metazoa; Arthropoda; Insecta; Phasmatodea; Lonchodidae. The record is from RNAcentral.
UUAUUUAAUGGCCGCGGUAUUCUGACCGUGCAAAGGUAGCAUAAUCACUAGUUUUUUAAUUGAUAACUCGUAUGAAUGGUUUGACGAAACAUUAACUGUCUCUUUAUUAUUUUAGAAUUUAAAUUUUGAGUUAAAAUGCUUAAAUUUUUUUAUUGGACGAGAAGACCCUAUAGAUCUUUAUUUGUAUUAUUUUAAUUUUAUUUAGUUUUUAUUUUUAUUAAAUUAUUUUUAUUUUGUUGGGGUGACAUGAAGAUAUAUUUAACUCUUUAUUUUUUUUUACAUUUAUUUAUGAAUAAUUGACCUUAUUUUAUUGUUAAAAGAUGUAGAUACCUUAGGGAUAACAGCGUAAUUUUUUUUGAGAGUUCAUAUUGACAAUAAAGAUUGCGACCUCGAUGUUGGAUUAAGAUAAGUUUUAGGCGCAGUAGCUUAUAACUGUUAGGUCUGUUCGACCUUUAGAUUCUUACAUGAUCUGAGUU